This is a long non-coding RNA of Rhododendron vialii, 1018 nucleotides long. RefSeq lists it as uncharacterized. The transcript has 3 exons. The record is from RefSeq and is a predicted model, not a curated record. Lineage: Eukaryota; Viridiplantae; Streptophyta; Magnoliopsida; Ericales; Ericaceae.
UCAACACUUAUUUACAUAUUUACUGUAUUAAAUUGCAUUACAUCGUGAUGAUCUAUCUGUUCACUUUCAACUUCUUACCCUUAUUUAUCACUUUUGUCCUCAGGUCUUCGAGGGGAUCUAUCUAGAGAUUUAGAUGAGUCUUUGAUGCAAAUUGCAAGGACUAUAGAAAAUGCAGUGUCACCGGUAAAAGUUUACCUUGCAUUUCCCCCCUUAAUUAGUUUUUUCUUAUCUGUUUUUUGGUUUCUAAAAAAUUAUUGUUGUCUACUUUUUCACUAAACUCUGUGCGUUGAUGAAGGUGAUUUUUCCCUUCCUUUUUCUAGGUACGCACGUCAUGCAUAAAAUUAGUGCAAAGAAAAUAGGAAGGUUGGUGACUAGCUAGGAGUAACCACACAGGUCACGAAUUCUUCAUUACAAAAGUGCUUUACACUCGGAGUUUGGUGCUAGCAUGGGGGCAUUGACGCAUUAUGACCAUGAUUACUAUUGUUUUUGGAGGCUUUUCUUUGGUCAUGACGGUAUUGUUGUCAAUUGAAUUAGUGGUUUGCUUUGCGAUGAUAUUGAUUUUUAUAUUCCUAAAUGUGUGUGGCUUGGUGUAUGACCUACGUAGUUGUAUAUGUCUUCCAGUUCUUUGUUGAUACAAAUCUUGCUUAUCCACAAUGAAGGCUUUACUACUUAUUAUGAGGAAUUUGUGUGACUGGUUGUUGGUCAGAUUUUGAUUUGCUAAAUUAUGAUCAAUAUAGUUGCAGUUCUGAUCAAAAUUCCACCCAAAACCUUUUUAUUUUCCUGAAACGUGCUUCCUUUUUGAUAAUUCAGAUGUCCGUGCCAGUUUUCGCGCACCUCAACUAAUCCUGUGGGCUCCACCGCCCACUUGCAUGGAGUUAUAGAGAGUCCUCGACACGUUUGUGAAACUUUAAAAGGAAAUGGAACAGGUUGCAUUUGCAUUUGCAUUUCUUCAACAAGUCUAUGACAAUUAGCUUGGUUCUACUCCAAGCUAUAGCAUUGCUGCAUCUAUUUGGCUGAG